This 253-nucleotide ribosomal RNA is filed under the name uncultured bacterium. RNAcentral describes it as "partial 16S ribosomal RNA". It matches the Rfam family "Bacterial small subunit ribosomal RNA", at positions 524 to 776 of the family's 1533-position model. The record is from RNAcentral.
UACGUAGGGGGCAAGCGUUGUCCGGAUUUAUUGGGCGUAAAGAGCGUGUAGGCGGCCAGAUAAGUCCGCUGUGAAAUCUCGAGGCUCAACUUCGAGCUGUCGGUGGAAACUUUCUGGCUAGAGUCCGGAAGAGGAGAAUGGAAUUCCUGGUGUAGCGGUGAAAUGCGCAGAUAUCAGGAAGAACACCCGUGGCGAAGGCGGUUCUCUGGGACGGUACUGACGCUGAGACGCGAAAGCGUGGGGAGCGAACAGG